Molecule: ribosomal RNA, 511 nt
Filed under: uncultured Desulfobulbus sp.
Lineage: Bacteria; Pseudomonadati; Thermodesulfobacteriota; Desulfobulbia; Desulfobulbales; Desulfobulbaceae
Description: bacterial SSU rRNA
Rfam family: Bacterial small subunit ribosomal RNA
Source: RNAcentral
CGCCUUGCCAGCCCGCUACAGAAACUUAAAGGAAUUGACGGGGGCCCGCACAAGCGGUGGAGUAUGUGGUUUAAUUCGAUGCAACGCGAAGAACUUACCUGGUCUUGACAUCCCGGAGACCCUUAGGAAACUAGGGGGUGCUUCCAUCUGGAAGAAUCUGGAGACAGGUGCUGCAUGGCUGUCGUCAGCUCGUGUCGUGAGAUGUUGGGUUAAGUCCCGCAACGAGCGCAACCCUUGCCUUUAGUUGCCAGCAGUUCGGCUGGGCACUCUAAAGGGACUGCCGGUGUUAAACCGGAGGAAGGUGGGGAUGACGUCAAGUCCUCAUGGCCUUUAUGACCAGGGCUACACACGUACUACAAUGGCCGAUACAAAGGGCAGCGACACUGCGAGGUGAAGCCAAUCCCGUAAAAUCGGUCUCAGUCCGGAUUGGAGUCUGCAACUCGACUCCAUGAAGUUGGAAUCGCUAGUAAUCGUGGAUCAGCAUGCCACGGUGAAUACGUUCCCGGGCCUU